This 1657-nucleotide long non-coding RNA is filed under the name Nicotiana benthamiana. Its description in RNAcentral is "long non-coding RNA (NBEN_LNC038474)". Lineage: Eukaryota; Viridiplantae; Streptophyta; Magnoliopsida; Solanales; Solanaceae. The record is from RNAcentral.
UUACCAGCAAAAUUGGCAGAAUCCAUGAGGUCAGACUGAGGAGCAAAAUCAGGUUGAUGGGAAUGUUGAAAAAUAGCCAUUAGCUGAGAAUAUUGCUGCUUGGUUAAAGCUGAUACCAAUGAACCUUGUGUACCAUUGUUAGUAGUCCUAGCAAUAGAAGGAGAAGAAGAGUCAGAAGAAAGCUCUACUCUAACAGUUGCAUUUGCUAUAAUUUUCUUUACUUUGGUGAAUUUGAAAUCAGGAGGAAAACCAUGAAACUUGAAGCACAUAUCAAUUAAGUGUCCACUCUUCUUACAAUAUUUGCAGAAUAGAUUCCCUUUGGAUUGAUCAAAAUUCACUCUUUGAAUAUAUUAUCUUUGAGUGUUGGAACCAUGAGACUUAUAAUUUGUGUUGGGACUAGAAUGAUUAUUGAAGUUUAUUUUGGCAGUGAAGGCAGCUGAAUCAGGACCAAACUGAGAACUGGAGUUGAUCUGCCUUUGCCUUUCAUCUUGAAGAAGAAUAUUUUAUGCACUAUCUAGUGUUGGAGGUGAUUCCAUCAUGAGCAAGUUGCUCUUGACACCAACAUAGACUUCAUUAAGUCCCAUGAGAAACUGAUGAAGUUUAUGCUCUUCCUCCACUUUGAGAAUACCUUCUUUUGAAGCACAAGUACAGUGAUUUCCCUGGUUUCUACGAACAACCCUCAAUUCAUUCCACAAUUUCUUUAACUUGUUAAAAUAUGAUGCAAUAUCUAAGGAGCCUUGACAGGUAGAGGCAAGUUCUUUCUUAAUUUCAAAAGCUUUAGUUUCACCUACUGUUCCAUAUUUUUUAUUUAACUGUCUCCAUAUUUCUUCAGCUGUUUCAGAGUACUGGACACCAUCCGCAAUGUCAGGAGAUAAAGAACUUGUUAACCAUGAGAUUACCAUUUUAUUACACCUAUCCCAUUGAUUAGACUCUAUUGAAUUAUCUGGAGGUUUCGGUAAACUACCAUCAGUAAACAUAAUUUUGUUCCUAGCAGACAGGGAAACAAUAAUACUUCUUUUCCAACCCCCAAAAUUUGUCCCAGAAAAAGGAACCGGUACAAGAGAAACACCUUGAACAUAUGAUGACUGAACAAAUAGAGCACUGUAGGGCUUGGGAAUAAACUCACGUGUGCCAGAUACAUUAUCAUCAGUAGAUCCCACUUUACUAUAACAUUCAACAAUGGACAAUUAUCUGAUAAAUAUUAUGCAGAAUGAAACGGAUACACAGUCACCGAUUUCUUCGCAAUCGAAAGUAUGCCCUUUAAAAUGACACCUCACAGCAACGCAACAACAAUGAUGAAAUAAGAUGAAGUCAUGAAACCCUAGAAUUCUUGAGUUUGACGACAAUCACGAGAAUUUGUAGAUAAUCUUCCAUAAUCACUCAAGAAGCAAAUACAACUCAAAAAACCACGAGAGAAGUUAGAAUCAACUAGAAACUAGUAUGUAGAAUAUGAAACCAAUACCUCUAUGAAAUUGAUAUCCUCAACGAAAUUCGAUGAGGUUAACAUCGAAAUAUAGAGGGAGAUGAGGUCGACCAGAAUCAAGCUCCGAUACCAUGAGAACAUGAGAAAAUCGAUUUAUAGUUGAGAAAUUAGUGUUAGGGUUCAUGAGAGAUAAGAGAGAGGAGAUGGAACUUUCUGAAUUUCAUUUGAGAAGAA